UGUAACAGCAUCUCCAUAUGGAAAGAUCCACCCAGAGUGGGUUCCAGUGGGGCUGCUGUUAUCUA
RNAcentral lists this microRNA precursor (65 nucleotides) under Tetraodon nigroviridis (spotted green pufferfish). RNAcentral describes it as "Tni-Mir-194-P4a_pre stem-loop". The record is from RNAcentral. Lineage: Eukaryota; Metazoa; Chordata; Actinopteri; Tetraodontiformes; Tetraodontidae.